CAAGUCGCACGAGAAAGGGGGCAACCCUGAGUAAAGUGGCGUACGGGUGAGUAACACGUGGAUCAUCUACCUUCUAGUGGGGAAUACCUCCGGGAAACUGGAGACAAUACCGCAUAAGCUCGUAAGAGGAAAGCAGCAAUGCGCUGGAAGAGGAGUCCGCGGCUGAUUAGCUAGUUGGUGAGGUAACGGCCCACCAAGGCGAAGAUCGGUAGCCGGCCUGAGAGGGCACACGGCCACACUGGCACUGAAACACGGGCCAGACUCCUACGGGAGGCAGCAGUGGGGAAUCUUGCACAAUGGAGGAAACUCUGAUGCAGCGACGCCGCGUGAGCGAUGAAGCCCUUCGGGGUGUAAAGCUCUUUCGACGGGAACGAUAAUGACGGUACCCGAAGAAGAAGCUGCGGCUAACUACGUGCCAGCAGCCGCGGUAAUACGUAGGCAGCGAGCGUUGUUCGGAAUUACUGGGCGUAAAGAGUGUGUAGGCGGUGCUCUAAGUCUGUUGUGAAAUCUCCCGGCUUAACUGGGAGGGUGCGGCGGAAACUGGAGUGCUCGAGGGUGGGAGAGGAAAGCGGAAUUCCUGGUGUAGCGGUGAAAUGCGUAGAUAUCAGGAGGAACACCUGCGGUGUAGACAGCUUUCUGGACCACUUCUGACGCUGAGACACGAAAGCGUGGGUAGCAAACAGGAUUAGAUACCCUGGUAGUCCACGCCCUAAACGAUGCAUACUUGGUGUGAGCCAUUCAUUUGGUUCGUGCCGGAGCUAACGCGUU
Molecule: ribosomal RNA, 768 nt
Filed under: uncultured Bacillota bacterium
Lineage: Bacteria; Bacillati; Bacillota
Description: bacterial SSU rRNA
Rfam family: Bacterial small subunit ribosomal RNA
Source: RNAcentral